UAAGCAUAUCAAUAAGCGGAGGAAAAGAAACCAACAAGGAUUGCCUCAGUAUCGGCGAGUGAAGCGGCAAAAGCUUAAAUUUGAAAUCUGGCACUAGCCCGAGUUGUAAUUUGUAGAGGAUGCACAUCUUCAGCAAGAGGCUUUGAGUCUAAGUUCCCUGGAACGGGAUAUCAUGGAGGGUGAGAAUCCCGUACAUGGUUCAUUGUCUCUUGCAUCAUGAAGCUCCUUCAACGAGUCGAGUUGUUUGGGAAUGCAGCUCAAAACAGGAGGUAAAUUCCUUCCAAAGCUAAAUAUUAGCCAGAGACCGAUAGCGAACAAGUAGAGUGAUCGAAAGAUGAAAAGCACUUUGGAAAGAGAGUUAAAAAGUAUGUGAAAUUGUUGAAAGGGAAGCGCUUGCAACCAGAUUUUUCACUGUAGGUUAGAUCAUCUAGGCUCUUUGGCCUAGUGUACUCUACCUAUAUUGUGUGCCAGCAUCGGUUUGUUAGUCGAGAGAAAAAGGUAGUGUGUUGUCAAUUCCUCCGGGUAUUUGGCAUGCAUUUACAGGUACAUCUUGAACCCAGACCGAGGACAGCGCUUUUGGCAUGGAUGCUGGUGUAAUGGUUGUAAGCGGCCCGUCUUGAAACACGGACCAAGGAGUCCAACAUCCAUGCGAGUGUUUGGAUAUCAAGUCCGUACGCGCAAUGAAAGUAAACGCAAGUGGGAACUCAUUUAUGUGUGCACCAUUGACCGAUCCUAAUCUUUUAGAAACGGAAUUGAGUAAGAGCAUGGCUGUUGGGACCCGAAAGAUGGUGAACUAUGCCCGCGUAGGCUGAAGUCAGGGGAAACCCUGAUGGAAGGUCGCAGCGGUUCUGACGUGCAAAUCGAUCGUCAAACGUGGGUAUAGGGGCGAAAGACCAAUCGAACCAUCUAGUAGCUGGUUCACGCCGAA
RNAcentral lists this ribosomal RNA (928 nucleotides) under Hesperomyces virescens. RNAcentral describes it as "LSU rRNA". It matches the Rfam family "Eukaryotic large subunit ribosomal RNA", at positions 35 to 965 of the family's 3401-position model. The record is from RNAcentral. Lineage: Eukaryota; Fungi; Ascomycota; Laboulbeniomycetes; Laboulbeniales; Laboulbeniaceae.